CAUGAUCUUUCGACCAAAGGAUUUAUUCGCUGAAGGAUGGCCUCGCGUCCGAUUAGGCAGUUGGUGAGGUAACGGCCCACCAAACCUACGAUCGGUAGCCGAACUGAGAGGUUGAUCGGCCACAUUGGGACUGAGACACGGCCCAGACUCCUACGGGAGGCAGCAGUGGGGAAUAUUGGGCAAUGGGCGAAAGCCUGACCCAGCAACGCCGCGUGAAGGAUGACGGUCUUCGGAUUGUAAACUUCUUUGAUUGGGGAAGAACAAAAUGACCUACCCAAAGAACAAGUCACGGCUAACUACGUGCCAGCAGCCGCGGUAAUACGUAGGUGACAAGCGUUAUCCGGAUUUACUGGGCGUAAAGGGCGUGUAGGCGGCUUUGCAAGUCAGAAGUGAAAUUCUCGGGCUCAACCCGGGCGCUGCUUCUGAAACUGUAGAGCUUAAGUGCUGGAGGGGAUAGCGGAAUUCCUAGUGGAGCGGUAAAAUGCGUAGAUAUUAGGAAGAACACCGGUGGCGAAGGCGGCUAUCUGGACAGUAACUGACGCUGAGGCGCGAAAGCGUGGGGAGCAAACAGGAUUAGAUA
This 580-nucleotide ribosomal RNA is filed under the name uncultured rumen bacterium. Its description in RNAcentral is "bacterial SSU rRNA". It matches the Rfam family "Bacterial small subunit ribosomal RNA", at positions 188 to 784 of the family's 1533-position model. The record is from RNAcentral.